Long non-coding RNA from Cyprinus carpio carpio, 653 nucleotides. The record is from Ensembl. NCBI's taxonomy places the organism in Eukaryota, Metazoa, Chordata, Actinopteri, Cypriniformes, Cyprinidae.
CUCGGCGCCUUACAAAAAUAAUCGAAUUUAAUGGUGUAAUUGUGCAGCAAGGUACCAUUUUACCCCGCUGUAAACCUAUGCAAUAGAUUCAAACCUGAACAAAGCACUGAUGACCCUCUACAAAGCAGGUUGAGCCACUGAUGUCACAUGGUCUAUUUUAUGGAUGUCCUUACUGGGACUUGAACUUGGUGGUUCUGUUGCUGUCAAUGCAAAGCUCUCUGAUUUCAUCAAAAAUAUCUUCCGAAGAUGAACGGGUUUGGAACAACAUGAGGCAGUCCCAAAACACUCCAUUUAUUUUGGAUUGUCUUCAGGCGUUGUGUUGAAUAUCAGGAGCGAGAUAACAACAGCGAUGGUAACCGGGUCAGUGAAGUCGAACACACAGGCCGAAACAAGACCAAAGGGACCGUCGGUCAGAACAUCUCCGCCAACUGGCUACCUACACGGACUCUUUGAGGCUUGCAGGAACACGGAUCUGCAGCGAUCGUUAGAGCAGCAAACUGUUUCCUGCGCCGGGAAAAAAAUAAAUAUUUGAAUAUUCUCAGGCGCUCCUAAACCAGCUUAAAUUGGAUCAUUUUAUUGUGCCGCUCCACCCUGCCAAAAUGCCAAGAGAGUGUGGGUUUUGGCGAAGGCCGGCACUCCUGAAUCUCCCCCCC